RNAcentral lists this ribosomal RNA (305 nucleotides) under uncultured bacterium. Its description in RNAcentral is "bacterial SSU rRNA". It matches the Rfam family "Bacterial small subunit ribosomal RNA", at positions 335 to 637 of the family's 1533-position model. The record is from RNAcentral.
AUCCCUACGGGGCGCAGCAGUGAGGAAUAUUGGUCGAUGGACGCAAGUCUGAACCAGCCAUGCCGCGUGCAGGAAGACGGCUCUAUGAGUUGUAAACUGCUUUUGUACGAGGGUAAAUCCCGAUACGUGUAUCGGGUUGAAAGUAUCGUACGAAUAAGGAUCGGCUAACUCCGUGCCAGCAGCCGCGGUAAUACGGAGGAUUCAAGCGUUAUCCGGAUUUAUUGGGUUUAAAGGGGGCGUAGGCGGUUCGAUAAGAUAGAGGUGAAAUCCCGGGGCACAACCCUGGCACUGUCUCUGAUACGGUG